AGUGAACGCUGGCGGUAGGCCUAACACAUGCAAGUCGAACGGCAGCACAGUAAGAGCUUGCUCUUACGGGUGGCGAGUGGCGGACGGGUGAGGAAUACAUCGGAAUCUACUUUUUCGUGGGGGAUAACGUAGGGAAACUUACGCUAAUACCGCAUACGACCUACGGGUGAAAGCAGGGGAUCUUCGGACCUUGCGCGAUUGAAUGAGCCGAUGUCGGAUUAGCUAGUUGGCGGGGUAAAGGCCCACCAAGGCGACGAUCCGUAGCUGGUCUGAGAGGAUGAUCGGCCACACUGGAACUGAGACACGGUCCAGACUCCUACGGGAGGCAGCAGUGGGGAAUAUUGGACAAUGGGCGCAAGCCUGAUCCAGCCAUACCGCGUGGGUGAAGAAGGCCUUCGGGUUGUAAAGCCCUUUGUUGGGAAAGAAAAGCAGCAGGUUAAUACCCCGCUGUUCUGACGGUACCCAAAGAAUAAGCACCGGCUAACUUCGUG
This 491-nucleotide ribosomal RNA is filed under the name uncultured bacterium. Its description in RNAcentral is "partial 16S ribosomal RNA". It matches the Rfam family "Bacterial small subunit ribosomal RNA", at positions 29 to 507 of the family's 1533-position model. The record is from RNAcentral.